Molecule: long non-coding RNA, 225 nt
Filed under: Theobroma cacao (cacao)
Lineage: Eukaryota; Viridiplantae; Streptophyta; Magnoliopsida; Malvales; Malvaceae
Description: long non-coding RNA (TCAC_LNC002420)
Source: RNAcentral
UGCGUACAUAACUUUUUAACAACCUUAGCGGACUCAGUUGGGAUAGCCCUCGAUCAAGGCAUCCCUGAUAACUGGGUAUAAAAAUGAUUUUGGCACGAGCCAAAGUUUUAAGAAAUUCAUAAGCCAUGUUGAUUACUCGAUUUAUAUGAAUUGAUUUUAUUUGGUUGAAACAAGUUGAAAGGUGAUGAAUUUCAGUAUGUUAAACUGUUUUAUCUGUCUCCAUUU